UGUGCGCCCGUAGCUCAAUGGAUAGAGUACUGCCCUCCGAAGGCAGGGGUUGCUGGUUCGAUCCCAGCCGGGCGCG
This 76-nucleotide transfer RNA is filed under the name Cupriavidus taiwanensis LMG 19424. RNAcentral's name for it is "tRNA-Arg". It matches the Rfam family "tRNA". Rfam says of the family: Transfer RNA (tRNA) molecules are approximately 80 nucleotides in length. The record is from RNAcentral. Lineage: Bacteria; Pseudomonadati; Pseudomonadota; Betaproteobacteria; Burkholderiales; Burkholderiaceae.